Molecule: ribosomal RNA, 468 nt
Filed under: uncultured bacterium
Lineage: Bacteria
Description: partial 16S ribosomal RNA
Rfam family: Bacterial small subunit ribosomal RNA
Source: RNAcentral
GACGAACGCUGGCGGCGUGCUUAACACAUGCAAGUCGAACGGAAAGGCCCUGCUUUUGUGGGGUGCUCGAGUGGCGAACGGGUGGGUAACACGUGAGUAACCUGCCCUUGACUUUGGGAUAACUUCAGGAAACUGGGGCUAAUACCGGCUCGGAGCUCCUGCUGCAUGGUGGGGGUUGGAAAGUUUCGGCGGUUGGGGAUGGACUCGCGGCUUAUCAGCUUGUUGGUGGGGUAGUGGCUUACCAAGGCUUUGCAGGGUAGCCGGCCUGAGAGGGUGACCGGCCACAUUGGGACUGAGAUACGGCCCAGACUCCUACGGGAGGCAGCAGUGGGGAAUAUUGCACAAUGGGCGGAAGCCUGAUGCAGCAACGCCGCGUGCGGGAUGACGGCCUUCGGGGUGGAAACCGCGUUCGCCUGUGACGAAGCGUGAGUGACGGUAAUGGGUAAAGAAGCACCGGCUAACUACGUG